GUAGGUGAACCUGCGGAAGGAUCAUUAAAGAGUUAGGGUCUUCUAGGCCCGACCUCCCAACCCUUUGCUUAUUGAACCUCUGUUGCUUCGGCGGACCCGCCUCGCGGCCGCCGGAGGACCGCUGAAAGGCGUCCUCUGGUCAGCGUCCGCCGAAAGCCAACCACUUAAACUCUGAAUAAAUCGUGUCAUAUGUCUAAGUCUAUGAUUUAAAUUAAAGCAAAACUUUCAACAACGGAUCUCUUGGUUCUGG
This 250-nucleotide unclassified non-coding RNA is filed under the name plant metagenome. RNAcentral's name for it is "partial contains small subunit ribosomal RNA, internal transcribed spacer 1, and 5.8S ribosomal RNA". The record is from RNAcentral.